RNAcentral lists this non-coding RNA (167 nucleotides) under Anaerolineae bacterium. Its description in RNAcentral is "6S RNA". It matches the Rfam family "6S / SsrS RNA". From Rfam's summary of the family: E. coli 6S RNA was the first non coding RNA to be sequenced, but its function was unknown until recently. It consists of 184 nucleotides that fold into an extended hairpin structure with a large single-stranded internal bulge. The record is from RNAcentral. Lineage: Bacteria; Bacillati; Chloroflexota; Anaerolineae.
CGUCUCCCGUCAUGCUCGUGAUGCUGUGAUCAGCGUUUUGAGCCAAUACCUAUAUACAGGGAGCCGAUCUCUGGAGGCGCUGUCCGAGAGGGCAAACCCGACAGGUAGGCACCCACCUGCCUCGGCAGGUUCAAAACAAUGAUAGCACACGGCAAGAUGGGGGACGC